CCGCGGCACGGCCCCGCCCCGCAGGCCCGGUAACGGCGGCUUCCUGCCGGGGGGCCGGGCGUUGGGGCUCCUCCUAAAAAUGCCGCUGUGUGAAGGCCGAGGAGGCGGUGAGCAGGUGCUGAUGAAAAAUGAAAGCUAUUUGCCGAUCGUGAAAAAUAAAGAUCAGAGGAAGAGGCUUGUCCAUGAAAUCUGCUCCUUUUUAGACAGCAGUCAGUCCCUGCAGGAAAUCGAUGCUUUGAGGACAGAAAAUAGGAAGCUUAAAAAUGCGAACUCAAGGCUGCGAUAUAAAACAAAAGAUUGGGCGAUAAGGAGAGAAGAAUAUAAAAAGAUGAAGAGUCCGAGCAUCUUAACGGCCCAGAUAAGAGAACGCCACGGGGCCAGACCAAACACGCGAGCACUCAGACAGAGGGCGCCUGCGGAGCGGAGGAAAGGUAAGGGCUGCGAAAGAGGUGCUGGUGCGGGGCUGCCGUGGCGUUGUCCUGGCCCUACAAAACUCAGAAUCUUCUUGGUCGUAACCCCUACAUCUCUUGGGACGUUGCUGAGGUGCAGCAACGGGGAAAGCGGAGGAUGUAACGUCUCACCUGCCCUUAAAACCGCUAGGUCCUGUAGUGAAAUCUCUGUCUUGCCAAAGGGAGAGGUCUGGAAAAAAGGAACCUGCUCCUGA
This 664-nucleotide long non-coding RNA is filed under the name Anser brachyrhynchus (Pink-footed goose). Its description in RNAcentral is "lncRNA (ENSABRG00000008571.1)". The record is from RNAcentral. Lineage: Eukaryota; Metazoa; Chordata; Aves; Anseriformes; Anatidae.